Non-coding RNA from Marinobacter sp. BSs20148, 95 nucleotides. The record is from Rfam. Lineage: Bacteria; Pseudomonadati; Pseudomonadota; Gammaproteobacteria; Pseudomonadales; Marinobacteraceae.
UGGUCGAUGGGUAACCCCACUGGUGAUUGAGCAGAAGUCAGCAGAGGGCAUAGUAGCCGAAUGCCCAUCGUAAUGGGUGGGACAUGGUGAAGGCC